GACGAACGCUGGCGGCGUGCUUAACACAUGCAAGUCGAACGGAAAGGCCCUGCUUUUGUGGGGUGCUCGAGUGGCGAACGGGUGAGUAACACGUGAGUAACCUGCCCUUGACUUUGGGAUAACUUCAGGAAACUGGGGCUAAUACCGGAUAGGAGCUCCUGCUGCAGGGGGGGGGUGGGAAAGUUUCGGCGGUUGGGGAUGGACUCGCGGCUUAUCAGCUUGUUGGUGGGGUAGUGGCUUACCAAGGCUUUGACGGGUAGCCGGCCUGAGAGGGUGACCGGCCACAUUGGGACUGAGAUACGGCCCAGACUCCUACGGGAGGCAGCAGUGGGGAAUAUUGCACAAUGGGCGGAAGCCUGAUGCAGCAACGCCGCGUGCGGGAUGACGGCCUUCGGGUUGUAAACCGCUUUCGCCUGUGACGAAGCGUGAGUGACGGUAAUGGGUAAAGAAGCACCGGCUAACUACGUG
Molecule: ribosomal RNA, 468 nt
Filed under: uncultured bacterium
Lineage: Bacteria
Description: partial 16S ribosomal RNA
Rfam family: Bacterial small subunit ribosomal RNA
Source: RNAcentral